Molecule: ribosomal RNA, 1175 nt
Filed under: uncultured bacterium
Lineage: Bacteria
Description: bacterial SSU rRNA
Rfam family: Bacterial small subunit ribosomal RNA
Source: RNAcentral
CUAAGAGGGGGAUAACACUCGGAAACGGGUGCUAAUACCGCAUAAGACCACGACCCGGCAUCGGGAUGAGGUCAAAGGAGCAAUCCGCUGAGAGAGGGGUUCGCGUCCCAUUAGAUAGAUGGCGGGGUAACGGCCCACCAUGUCAACGAUGGGUAGCCGAGCUGAGAGGCUGAUCGGCCACACUGGAACUGAGACACGGUCCAGACUCCUACGGGAGGCAGCAGUGGGGAAUAUUGGGCAAUGGGCGCAAGCCUGACCCAGCAACGCCGCGUGAGGGAAGAAGGCUUUCGGGUUGUAAACCUCUGUCCUUGGUGACGAAACAAAUGACGGUAGCCAAGGAGGAAGCCCCGGCUAACUACGUGCCAGCAGCCGCGGUAAUACGUAGGGGGCGAGCGUUGUCCGGAAUUACUGGGCGUAAAGGGUGCGUAGGUGGCCUUUUAAGUUGGAUGUGAAAUACCCGGGCUUAACUUGGGGGGUGCAUCUAAUACUGGAAGGCUAGAGUGCAGAGAGGAAAGCGGAAUUCCUAGUGUAGCGGUGAAAUGCGUAGAUAUUAGGAGGAACACCAGUGGCGAAGGCGGCUUUCUGGACUGUAACUGACACUGAGGCACGAAAGCGUGGGGGAGCAAACAGGAUUAGAUACCCUGGUAGUCCACGCGGUAAACGAUGAAUACUAGGUGUAGGGGGUAUCAACUCCCCCUGUGCCGGAGCUAACGCAAUAAGUAUUCCGCCUGGGGAGUACGGCCGCAAGGUUGAAACUCAAAGGAAUUGACGGGGGCCCGCACAAGCAGCGGAGCAUGUGGUUUAAUUCGAAGCAACGCGAAGAACCUUACCAAGGCUUGACAUCCACUUAAACGCAUGGAAACAUGCGGUCUCUUCGGAGGAAGUGAGACAGGUGGUGCAUGGUUGUCGUCAGCUCGUGUCGUGAGAUGUUGGGUUAAGUCCCGCAACGAGCGCAACCCCUAUUGCCAGUUACCAGCGAGUAAUGUCGGGGACUCUGGUGAGACUGCCGGGGACAACUCGGAGGAAGGUGGGGAUGACGUCAAAUCAUCAUGCCCCUUAUGUCUUGGGCUACACACGUGCUACAAUGGCUGAAACAAAGGGAAGCGACAACGUAAGUUGAAGCGGAUCUCACAAAAACAGUCCCAGUUCGGAUUGUGGGCUGCAACCCGCCCACA